Choloepus didactylus (southern two-toed sloth) is the source of this 75-nucleotide small nucleolar RNA. RefSeq annotates it as small nucleolar RNA SNORD59. The record is from RefSeq and is a predicted model, not a curated record. The transcript has a single exon. Lineage: Eukaryota; Metazoa; Chordata; Mammalia; Pilosa; Megalonychidae.
CUUUCAAUGAUGAUUUUAUUAAAAUGACUUUCGUUCUUCUGAGUUUGCUGAAGCCACGAGUAGUUUCUGAGAAGG